CCCUAUGGGGUGCAGAGCGAAAUAACCCUUCUGCUGGAUCAAUUCAAGGGCAGGGGGAUCCAGGUGAGGAGAUCCCAAGUCUACAACAACUGGGGAGGAUACGUCAGCAACGAGGAUGUGAAAGGCCUGGACAUCGAUAUCAACAGCCGGCCCUCCUACAAGAAGGGGGCGUGCACCAUGCUCUUCGACAGCAUCAUGAUCAUGGCCGACGGCACGGUCAACGGCUGUCCCUGCCGGGACGUCGACGCAUCGUUGAAGAUCGGGGACCUGCGCGGGGAGCCCCUGGCGGAGAUCCUAUCGAGCCGCAACCAGGCCUACAUGCAGCUCAUCGACGGGCAGCAGAAAGGAAUCUACCCCCCCGUGUGCAGGAAUUGGCGGGGGGGC
This 384-nucleotide ribosomal RNA is filed under the name uncultured prokaryote. RNAcentral's name for it is "partial 16S ribosomal RNA". The record is from RNAcentral.